Patella vulgata (common limpet) is the source of this 540-nucleotide long non-coding RNA. RefSeq lists it as uncharacterized. NCBI's taxonomy places the organism in Eukaryota, Metazoa, Mollusca, Gastropoda, Patellidae. The transcript has 3 exons. The record is from RefSeq and is a predicted model, not a curated record.
AUUGCUUAAUCAAGCUCAAUUAUAAAAGCAGAGUUAUUUUGUGUCAGAAAGUGUGACAGUAAUAAUGGACCUCACCUUUGUUCCAGUCUUUAGGAUUGUGCUACUCUGUGUCGCACUGGCUACAGUUAUGAGCCAUGCUCAUGAUCACAGCGAGGCAGGCCACAGUCACGAAUCUAUACCAUUUUCCGAACCUCGUGGUGCUGCUGCAAAUUUGUGGAACAUGCAAGGCAUGAUUAUCAUGUUUGUGGCAGGAACUGGAUUACUGUCCCUGAUAAAUACCAUUCUGUCAUAGAAAUUGACAAACUAAUAAUAGAUGAAGCACAACCUGUAAUAUAAAGAUCAAGACCAGCAUUGUAAUUGUGUUCGACUUUUGAAGUGCGUCGUCUAUCACGGAAUUAAAAAUUAUUUACUUAAAAGGGUUUUCGUAAUCUAAUCAUUAUUUCAUUUUCUUCAAAAGAAAAAUUACAGUGUAUUGUUAUAUUUAUGUAUUCAAGUCUCCCUUAAUAAAUCAAUGGAUAUUAUUGUAUUAUGAAAGGGACG